Carassius auratus (goldfish) is the source of this 5459-nucleotide RNA transcript. RefSeq lists it as uncharacterized. The record is from RefSeq and is a predicted model, not a curated record. Lineage: Eukaryota; Metazoa; Chordata; Actinopteri; Cypriniformes; Cyprinidae. The transcript is spliced from 16 exons.
CAACUGUACUGACGAUAUCCUCCAAACUACAGUCUGUGCCGAGUCCAACUGUACUGACGAUAUCCUCCAAACUACAGUCUGUUCUUCCAGAUUAAGAGAUGGCGUCUCAUUUUUCAAUGCCAUGCCCAAAUUAAGAGAUGGCAUCUCAUUUUUCACUGCCACGCCUAAAAUAAGUUAUGAUGUCUCAUUUUUAACUGCCAUACCCAAAUUUUGUGAUGACAUCUUGCUUUUCACUUCUACGUCCAAUUUAAGUAGUGAGGCCUUUCCAUCUUUUUUCCCAGUGAUGUCCAAAUUUAGUGAUGAUGUCGCUCCAGUUCUAGGUUAUGUCACGUCUGACUGCAGAGAUGAAGCUCUCCAAGCUUCAGUCUGUUCUGUAGCUGACUUGAGUGUCGGUGUCCCUCAGUCUCCACUCCACAAAACAUUCGACUGUAGAGACAAUGUCCCCCAAGCUACAACCUGUGCAACACCUGACUGUAGUGUUUAUGCUCCCCAAACUCCGUCAAGCCAGUUACAGGAUGAUGAGACAACAAUUAUUGACAUCAAUUCACACCGUUAUGAAAUCGGCUGUCAGUUGGGUAAAGGAGGCUUUGGAAUCGUGUACGCAGCAACUCGUUUGAAUGAUGGCCUACAGGUGGCAAUAAAAUUGGCAUCCAACAAGAUCACAAAGUUCAUCAGCAUUGAUGGUUAUUCUGGACGUCUUCCUCUGGAGGUUGCUUUGCAAAUUCUUGCAAAUAAAGGCCCCAGGGUGGAGGAAAUCGUUCAGCUUCUGGACUGGCGGCUGGAUCCUGACUAUUACUUUAUGGUCCUAGAGCGGCCCGUGCCCUGUCAGUCCUUGUUUCAGUAUUUAAAGAGCUACAAGGGCAUCAUGGACGAAGACUUUGCUCGAGUUAUAAUGAACCAGGCAAUAUUUGCGGCUCGGAUGUGCUGCCUUCGUGGAGUGUUGCACCGGGACAUAAAGCUGGAAAACCUUCUGAUCAACCCGGACACACUCGAAGUCAAAUUGAUUGACUUUGGCUGUGGUGCAAUCCUCACCGACGGGGGUUACACGUCCUUUACUGGCACAAGAGAGUACUGCCCUCCUGAGUAUCACAUGACCGGCCAGUACCACGGGGAACCAGCGACAGUGUGGUCACUCGGGAUCCUCUUGUUUGUGAUUCUUUUCAGUAAAUAUCCAAAGAGACGACACCUGCACGAGAUUAACGAUAAAAACUGGACUAAAGCUGGCCUGUCGAAAGAAUGCUGCGAUUUAAUUCGCCGGUGUCUACAGAUCGACCCAAAGCAGCGGAUUGAACUGGGGAAACUCAGUCUCCACGACUGGCUUAUGACUGCAGACAAGGAGAAUAACAACGACACAAUAAUGGACAUCAAUUCAUGCCGUUAUGAAAUCGUCUGUCAGCUGGGUGAUGGAGGCUUCGGAACCGUUUAUGCAGCGACUCGUUUGGACGACGGCCUACAGGUGGCGAUAAAAGUCGUCUCCAGCAGGAACAGAAAGUUCAUCAGUAUUGACGGUUGUUCCAAGCCUCUUCCUCUGGAGGUUGCUUUGCAAAUCCUUGCAGACGGAGACCCCAGGGUCGAGGAAAUCAUCCAGCUUCUGGACUGGCGGGUGGAGUCUGACCACUACAUUUUGGUGCUAGAGCGUCCCGUUCCCUUUGAGGAACUGAACUGGUUUCUCCUGCAGCAAAUGGGUACCAUUCAAGAGGACAUGGCACGAGUUAUAAUGCGCCAGGCAACAUUCGCAGCUCAAACAUGCUGCAGACGUGGAGUGUUUCAUCAGGACAUAAAGCUGGAAAAGCUUCUGAUCAACCCGGACACACUCAAAGUCAAGUUAACUGACUUUGGGUGUGGUGACUUCCUCAGCUGUGUGGGUUACACGUCCUUUGUUGGCACAAGAGAGUACUGCCCUCCUGAGUAUCACAUGACCGGCCAGUACCACGGGGAACCAGCGACAGUGUGGUCACUCGGGAUCCUCUUGUUUCUUAUGCUGUGUGGGGAUUUUCCAAAUACACCAGACCUGCACAUGAUCGACGGUCACAACUGGACCAAAGAUGGCUUGUCGGAAGAAUGCAGCGAUUUUAUUUGCUGCUGUCUGCAAAUCAAUCCAAAAGAGCGGAUUGAACUGGAGAAACUUAGUCUCCACGACUGGUUUAUGGAUUGCUGAAAUGAGGGGAGCAAAAGAAAAUAGUAAUUCUGUCAAUUAUCGCCAGGAUCAACUGGAAGUUCCUUGUGAAGAACAGAGGACACGUUGUGUACGAAUGUGCAAUUAGAAGAAAAUUUGAAUAUGAAAGUUCAGAAUAUGUUUUUCAGCCAUUUUGACAGCCCUACAACUUCCCCUUUAUUUGCAUCUGGAGGUGAGCUGAACGCCCAAUGUGCAAAGACUCCUAAAGAACCGGACAGCAGAUCUCCCUGUCCUCCGCAACGCCGGCCACUGCUCUCCUGAUUACAGGUCAGCACUGAGAGCAAACAGAAAAGCAGCACGUUAGAGAAAGAAAACAGAACCAUAUGAAGUUUGAAUGUUUUAAGAAAAUCACUAACUGUUCUUUCCGUCAGUAAUAAUGUCCUCCUCCCCUUUUAAAACCAAGGUAAAAUGGCCCAAGGCGAUGCUCAGUUUCUGAACACUUCUCUUGUAUUCAGAUAAAAAGCUGAGGAAGAGUGUGUGCAUAAAGGAGAAGAAAAGGCUCGUAGGGAGCUGAUCAAACAAUGAUCAAUAAGACCCAGGUUUCAUCCUCUAAUGCACAAUGAACUAAUGACAAAUGUCCAAGUGUCCGAUGUAUAAAACAGGUAUAUGCCACUACACUAUAUGCUUGGUUUAGAUGUUGUUGAGCAUCACUAGACAGUUACACCAUGAUUUAAUUAUCAUAUUGCUAAUGCAUAUAGGACAACAGCAUGAAAACAGUUGUUGUAGGUACAUUUUAAAAAUUUGCUAGGUUAGUCUGAGAGGUUGCUAAAUAUUGAAAAAAAAUUGCUAACACCAACAGAGAGUCCUUCUGGAGUUACACGUUCCCUUAUAUGGAUAGGAAAGAAAUGUAACCGUUAAUUAUAAAGUGUGAGUAAAAGGGAAACUUAGCUGUCUUGCUGAAUUGUUUCAGUUUCUCAUCCAUAAUAGCCCCAGUGCAGUGUGUAAAAGUGGAAAUUCAUUACAUCUGUUUGAGAGAUACACGGACAGAGAGUGAAGCCUUUAAGUAAUAUUAACAAUGAACACUUUAAAUCAUUUAUGAUUUUUGUUUACUCAGGGGUAUUGGUGUAUCAUUUGCCCAGAAUCAUUAAUGAGAUGCCUCACAGAGGUAAUGCUGCAUGUUCAGCUCCUUUACCCUCUGUUUACUUUCCUAAUCUGUCUGGAUGCCCCCCUUGGCAUGGGGCAGCAUUCAGUAUAAAUCAUCACAUGCAUGUAAUAGUUUGUAAAGCCAGAGACACACUGCAUGAUUUUCAGCUGUCCCAGACCAAAGAAUGGCAUCGUGAAACAAUCACGUCCACCACCAUUGUUUCAUGAUGCCUGUAUUUUAGACAGCUGAGAAUGUCUGUUCAUUUUUGUUCGGUCACAAGAUGCAUCUGCGAGUCUCCAUCGUUCUUCUAUUUGUUCUUCUCACUGGAGGUACAGAAAACAUACAGCAUAUUUAAAAUAUUUUCUGAUGUAAAUACAGACAUCACUGAAUGUCUCUCUGCUCUGUGUCUCUUUGUCAUUUAAGGUUUCUCUCUGGUCUGCUAUAAUUGCAUGGAUCAACUAGAAGGUCCUUGUAAAGAACAGAUGGCAUGUGACCAUGAACAAAGCAAGUGUGCAAGUAGAAUAACAUUAGAAAUUGAAAACACAGAACAAUAUUAGGAUUAUUAUUAUGAGAAUGGGAUGAGAUGUUUCACUUGUGACGAGGAGGACUGUUCACACACAGUGAGUUGUCAGGGAAAUGAAGACUACUGCUUCACUGCAUACAAAAAUCACUCUCAAUAUCAGCAUCAAUACCAACCACAGACUGUAAAAGGAUGUGCCUCUACAUAUAUCUGUUAUAAUGCAACAGAACAGUUAGAGCUGGGUGAAAACAUCAAAUGUUGUUCAGGGAAUCUGUGUAACGGUGUUCAGAACGUCUCUCAGAGCUUCCUGUUCCUCUGCUGUUCUCUGCUCUCCUUCAUCCUGCUGCACUGAAUCCAGCAGCAAAGACCCUUCACAUCAGCCACAAUCUAAUUAAUUACUUAAAAAAACAAACCAUUCAUUUUCUGAGAUCAGUUGGAUAUCUUUUAAUCCAUGAAAUAAAAACUAAAUACUGGGGGAGUUCUAGAACAAUACAAAUGUUGGAUUAUUUUUAUUUAACAAUAAAUAAAAAAAAAGAACAAGCAUGGUUCAUCAUCAUGUAUUACACAAACGAUGUGCACUAUGCAUAAUUAUAAUAUUAAAAUAAAUAAAUAAAUAAAACUCCAACAAAAAAUCAGCCAUAUGUUUCCAGACAUGAAGCCCCAGUGUUGCAUAAAAGGUUUAGACUAGUUUUACAAUCAUUAUUUAUCCUCAUGCCAUGAAGAUUUGCUUUUGGUUGUUAAAUUAGAAAGAAGCAAGUCAAGAUUUUUUCCUUGCAAGACAGAAAAGCCCACUAUUCUCAGCAAGACACUGUGCAAACUUUAAAAAUAUAUACAAGACAAUACACAGAGACACUUGCAUGACCAUAAAUCCGCUGCUGCUUGUGCAAAAUCAUUAUAGUAAACAUUACAGUGUUUGGAGCUACAAAGGCACUUCUGUUUGAAUGAUAUAUCUAAAAGUGUGUGUAAAUCUCAAAUUGCAUUUACUCAUUUGUCAUGCCUUCUCCACAUUUUUUAACACAAAUUUGACAAGACUCACUCUUUAUUCAGGAAAAUGCAGCUGCUCCCAUGAAUAACUUUGAUCUUCUUGCAUAUUACUUAGUAAUUCCUAUUUUAUAUCCUAUUUUAUUCCUGUUUUAUCCCUUGCUUUCACAAUGUGCAAUCCACCCUAUCUGCUCUAAACAGAUUCGAAAAUUACUAAUAUCACAGAAUUUAUGAUGGAUAGUAUGUACAUUGCACAGGCCUUGUUUUUCUUCAAGCCAUGAGAAAUUAGAUGUCCUGUGUAUCCAGCAGGGGGCAACGGCUGAUCAUUGUAUCUAUUCAUUUAAUCCAAUAGUGACCGUAAAAGGGAAAAAACUUCCUGCAAAUAUGGAAAAGAUAAACAAAUAUGUGCAGUUUGACGUGAUUAGUGCAAUUUGUCACAUGACCAGAGCAGUUUAUGAUGAUGAUUGCUGCAUCAAAGCUCUAAAAUGAAAGGCUAGUAAAGUAUGUUAACAUAAUGAUAUGGCAAAGAUUUUUUUUCUACACACUGUGUUUAAGCUGGCUAGUAUUAAUAAAUGAAUUAAUAUAUAUUCAGUUUUGUUGAGUGGUCAUUGAAUGAGUAAACAUCUUGAUGGGAGAACAGUCAACAAUAUAAAUCCAGUUGUAGCUGUUAGUGAAAACUAAAAGUUCAAACGUUACAA